CCUACGGGAUGCAGCAGUAGGGAAUCUUCGGCAAUGGACGAAAGUCUGACCGAGCAACGCCGCGUGAGUGAAGAAGGUUUUCGGAUCGUAAAACUCUGUUGUUAGAGAAGAACAAGGACGUUAGUAACUGAACGUCCCCUGACGGUAUCUAACCAGAAAGCCACGGCUAACUACGUGCCAGCAGCCGCGGUAAUACGUAGGUGGCAAGCGUUGUCCGGAUUUAUUGGGCGUAAAGCGAGCGCAGGCGGUUUCUUAAGCCUGAUGUGAAAGCCCCCGGCUCAACCGUGGAGGGUCAUUGGAAACUGGGGGACUUGAGUGCAGAAGAGGAGAGCGGAAUUCCACGUGUAGCGGUGAAAUGCGUAGAGAUGUGGAGGAACACCAGUGGCGAAGGCGGCUCUCUGGUCUGUAACUGACGCUGAGGCGCGAAAGCGUGGGGAGCAAACAGGAUUAGAUACCCUGUAGUC
RNAcentral lists this ribosomal RNA (464 nucleotides) under uncultured bacterium. Its description in RNAcentral is "bacterial SSU rRNA". It matches the Rfam family "Bacterial small subunit ribosomal RNA", at positions 338 to 795 of the family's 1533-position model. The record is from RNAcentral.